AUGGGAGACGAAUGUUCAAACCCACAUCUCCUCGCUAAGCCUGGAAGCUCGCCACAGUGGGAUCACGGGACCCCGAGGGAAGAGGCUGAGAAUGAGUCCAGCAUCCGCGUUCCUCGGGUUUUAAAAGCACAUCUGGGGCCAGAGACUGCAUAGCCAACUAAACGGAGUAAACGCGACAGGUGGAGGAGGCAGAGUUGUCAGGGGCCAAGCCCGGCGCGAUCUGGCCAGAGUCUUGGGGAGCGCGGACCUGGGACUGCAGAGAGGCGUUUUGAAGCGUGCUGCGCGCACCUGCCUCUUGGAGAUAUUCGGCCACCCGGGCGUCUCCUGAGAUCCCGCAGUCCACAGACCCCGGGAGGGCUGCCUGCCCUAGGACACGUCCUCUCUCGACCCCUCACUCUUUCAAAACUGGGGAAGAGGCGGAGGGGAUGAAAAAGAAGAAAGAGAGAGAGAAUGAAAGAGAGAAAGAAGGAAAGAAAUUUAAAAAAUAUAUUAAAGGGAGGGAAGAAUGGAGGGAAGGCGUGGGAGAGGGAAGAGGGGGGAAACUCUUAUCGCCACAACCAAAGCAGGAUGCCUCCGCUUCCUGAAUUUCUACAUAUGACUUUCAUUAAGUUUCUUCCUAGACCUUAA
Long non-coding RNA from Piliocolobus tephrosceles (Ugandan red Colobus), 627 nucleotides. RefSeq annotates it as CCDC140 long non-coding RNA. Lineage: Eukaryota; Metazoa; Chordata; Mammalia; Primates; Cercopithecidae. The transcript has a single exon. The record is from RefSeq and is a predicted model, not a curated record.